This 1479-nucleotide long non-coding RNA is filed under the name Homo sapiens (human). RNAcentral describes it as "HSALNT0357029". The record is from RNAcentral. Lineage: Eukaryota; Metazoa; Chordata; Mammalia; Primates; Hominidae.
GGUUAUCAGCUGUGCCUCCCUCUUAGAGGUCCUCGGAGUCCAGAGUCCUCGAAGGGAAAUCUGACACAAAGAAGCAGGUGUGAGACCGGCCCCUUUCUCCCAUGCCUUAGACAGGGCUCCAGGGACUGCUUCAGGGGAGAUGUCAGAGGGCAGCAGGGACCGGGAAGGGAGGAAGAAAGCAGAGUGACAGUGAGAGGUGGGAAAACUACAAGAGGAAUUGUUUGUACGCUUGGAUCUGGACUUUUAGAACUGGUCAGGACCUGACAGAUCCUCCAGCCCAGUUCUCCCGGCUCUCAAACACUGGCAUCAUUUAUAAUUCCCUGGAAAAUCACCAGCAGGUAAAUGAAGGAGAAAAGAAAAGAACAAAAUCCACCGGGAACCAGAGACUUCCAGGCUCCAAAGACAGGCAAUCUCCACCAGGAAAGACGGGUUUCGCCGUGUUGGCCGAGCUGGUCUCCAGCUCCCGACCGCGAGUGAUCUGCCCGCUUCGGCCUCCCGAGGUGCCGGGAGUGCAGACGGAGUCUCGCUCACUCAGUGCUCAGUCUUGCCGGGGCUGGAGUGCAGUGGCGUGAUCUCGGCUCGCUACAACCUCCACCUCCCAGCUGCCUGCCUUGGCCUCCCAAAGUGCUGAGAUUGCAGCCUCUGCCCAGCCGCCACCCCGUCUGGGAAGUGAGGAGCGUCUCUGCCUGGCCGUCCAUCAUCUGAGAUGUGAGGAGCCCCUCUGCCUGGCAGCCCAGUCGGGGAAGUGAGGAGCACCUCUUCCCGGCCGCCAUCCCAUCUAGGAAGUGAGGAGCGUCUCUGCCCUGCCGCCCAUCGUCUGAGAUGUGGGGAGCGCCGCUGCCCCGCCGCCCCGCCGCCCCGUCUGGGAUAUGAGGAGCACCUCUGUCUGGCCGCGACCCCGUCUGGGAACUGAGGAGUGUCUCUGCCCGACCGCCACCCCGUCUGGGAGGUGAGGAGCGUCUCUGCCCGGCCACCCCGUCUGAGAAGUGAGGAGCCCCUCCGCCCGGCAGCUGCCCCGUCUGGGAAGUGAGGAGCCCCUCUGCCCUGCAGCCGCCCAGUCUGGGAAGUGAGGAGCGUCUCCGCCCAGCAGCCGCCCCGUCUGGGAGGGAGGUGGGGGGCAGCCCCCGCCCGGCCAGCUGCCCCAUCUGGGAGGUGAGGGGCGCCUCUGCCCGGCCGCCCCGUCUGGGAAGUGAAGAGCCCCUCUGCCCGGCUGCCACCCCGUCUGGGAGGUGUACCCAACAGCUCAUUGAGAACGGGCCAUGAUGACGAUGGCGGUUUUGUCGAAUAGAAAAGGGGGAAAUGUGGGGAAAAGAGAGAUCAGAUUGUUACUGUGUCUGUGUGGAAAGAAGUAGACAUGGGAGACUCCAUUUUGUUCUGUACUAAGAAAAUUCUUCUGCCUUGGGAUGCUGUUAAUCUAUAACCUUACCCCCAACCCCGUGCUCUCUGAAACAUGUGCUGUGUCCACUCAGGGUUAAAUGG